RNAcentral lists this ribosomal RNA (253 nucleotides) under uncultured bacterium. RNAcentral's name for it is "partial 16S ribosomal RNA". It matches the Rfam family "Bacterial small subunit ribosomal RNA", at positions 524 to 776 of the family's 1533-position model. The record is from RNAcentral.
GACGUAGGGGGCCAGCGUUGCUCGGAAUUACUGGGCGUAAAGGGUCCGUAGGCGGUGCGGUAAGUCGGGAGUGAAAUCUCUGGGCUUAACUCAGAGGCUGCUUCCGAAACUACCGUGCUAGAGUGCGAGAGAGGCAAGUGGAAUUGCGGGUGUAGCGGUGAAACGCGCAGAUAUCAGGAGGAACACCGGUGGCGAAGGCGGGUCUCUGGGCCGAUACUGACGCUGAGGAGCGAAAGCGUGGGGAGCGAACAGG